RNAcentral lists this ribosomal RNA (459 nucleotides) under uncultured bacterium. RNAcentral describes it as "partial 16S ribosomal RNA". It matches the Rfam family "Bacterial small subunit ribosomal RNA", at positions 338 to 795 of the family's 1533-position model. The record is from RNAcentral.
CCUACGGGAGGCUGCAGUGAGGAAUAUUGGUCAAUGGGCGCGAGCCUGAACCAGCCAAGUCGCGUGAGGGAAGACGGUCCUAUGGAUUGUAAACCUCUUUUGUCGGGGAGCAAAAGACGCCACGCGUGGCGUUCCGAGAGUACCCUAAGGAAAAGCAUCGGCUAACUCCGUGCCAGCAGCCGCGGUAAUACGGAGGAUGCGAGCGUUAUCCGGAUUUAUUGGGGUUAAAGGGUGCGCAGGCGGAAGAGCAAGUCAGCGGUAAAAUUGAGGGGCUCAACCUCUUCGAGCCGUUGAAACUGGUGUUCUGGAGUGAGUGAGAAGUAUGCGGAAUGCGUGGUGUAGCGGUGAAAUGCAUAGAUAUCACGCAGAACUCCGAUUGCGAAGGCAGCAUACCGGCGCGCAACUGACGCUCAUGCACGAAAGUGUGGGUAUCGAACAGGAUUAGAUACCCUUGUAGUC